GGAGGAGAUGAAGAUGACAACAAUGAAGAGGAGCUUUGGCAAUACUUUCAUCAAGCGUACAUGAUCAAAUUCAGAAGCUUAGAACAAAAUAAAAAUCUUUGGAGCAUUGACACAUGAAGACACAAGCGUGCAACAUGCAACACAUGGAGAUGUUAGAAGUGAACCAUAAAGGAUUACAAAAGAUGACAUCAUGUUGUAUGGACACUUUGGAUUGUCGCACAAAGGACCAUGGCUUCACAUAAACAUGAACAAGGUGAGGAGUCUAGCUAUAUGACUA
This 277-nucleotide long non-coding RNA is filed under the name Setaria viridis. Its description in RNAcentral is "long non-coding RNA (SVIR_LNC004733)". Lineage: Eukaryota; Viridiplantae; Streptophyta; Magnoliopsida; Poales; Poaceae. The record is from RNAcentral.